RNAcentral lists this long non-coding RNA (1183 nucleotides) under Salmo salar (Atlantic salmon). RNAcentral describes it as "lncRNA (ENSSSAG00000083339.1)". Lineage: Eukaryota; Metazoa; Chordata; Actinopteri; Salmoniformes; Salmonidae. The record is from RNAcentral.
GUCCUAUCCUGGCAUUGCCAGGACCAUACCUACUGAGCUGCAUAGGACUGCAUAAAAUAGAUAUGUAGUGGAUGGCUUUGUUAGCUUCACUACUUCUUUACUGAGACCCGAAACCCUGUCGCACCAGACCAAGAAUUGGCUCUGAUUUUCUGGGUCAGUGGUAUUCUCUGUGUUCUGUAGAGUAUGUUGUGUUGUUGUGGGUUCGGAUCCCAGGUCUGUUGUGGCAGGAUGACCUGUGAUAUACACCACAUUAGUUUAUGUUACUGUAGUACCUUAACCACCAUGUAAAGCACUGAACAGUUGUCUGGCUAGCUUUAUAUGUCACAAACAUGAACAUCUCAUCAACAAUUCCAUGAUCAGCUUGAUUCACCUGCUAAAUGUUCCUAGCAGCCAACAGUAUUUUUCUUUUUCAUGGUUGCCAAAUUCUGAACUCUCAAGCCAUCUCAGCUGCCAUUCAAUACACAUGCAGUAUUUUCAGCGAAAGGCCAUCCCAACAAUACACUCCCAGCUGGCUGUGAGAGCUAAGCGCUAUAAGUAUGGGGAAACAGAUUACAGCUCUGUUUAUAGUUAAAGUGUUUGUGUUAUUCCCCAUCCUACCAGUCCCCUAUAUCUACCAAGCCACUGACACUAUCAGGUCGCUGCAAUGCAUGUGUUUAUUCCCAGCUCCCUCUCUUUUAUCAAUCUCUCCUCUAAAAUGUUUAAGAGAGAAAAUCAAAACUUCUCCCUUUGAAUUUAAUUAAUUGCUUUUAUCGUUUGAAUUAGGAAUUCAGUAGCAUUCACUAGGCACCAAGGAGGGGUACAGUCCGGAGAGGCAGAGGGAGUGAGGGAUACAGUACGGAGAGGCAGAGGGAGUGAGGGGUACAGUACAGAGAGGCAGAGGGAGUGAGGGAUACAGUACGGAGAGGCAGAGGGAGUGAGGGGUACAGUACGGAGAGGCAGAGGGAGUGAGGGGUACAGUACGGAGUGGCAGAGGGAGUGAGGGAUACAGUACGGAGAGGCAGAGGGAGUGAGGGGUACAGUACGGAGUGGCAGAGGGAGUGAGGGAUACAGUACAGAGAGGCAGAGGGAGUGAGGGAUACAGUACGGAGAGGCAGAGGGAGUGAGGGGUACAGUACGGAGAGGCAGAGGGAGUGAGGGGUACAGUACGGAGAGGCAGAGGGAGUGAGGGGUACAGUACGGAGAG